Molecule: ribosomal RNA, 368 nt
Filed under: Spirochaetes bacterium GWF2_52_7
Lineage: Bacteria; Pseudomonadati; Spirochaetota
Description: bacterial LSU rRNA
Rfam family: Bacterial large subunit ribosomal RNA
Source: RNAcentral
AAGGGUUUGGCUGUUCGCCAAUUAAAGCGGUACGCGAGCUGGGUUCAGAACGUCGUGAGACAGUUCGGUCCCUAUCUGCCACGAGCGUUGGAUGUUUGAGGGGUUCUGCCUCUAGUACGAGAGGACCGAGGUGGACGAACCUCUGGUGUACCAGUUGUCGUGCCAACGGCAAGCGCUGGGUAGCUACGUUCGGAAGGGAUAACCGCUGAAAGCAUCUAAGUGGGAAACCCUCCUCAAGAUGAGACAUCCCGUGCCCUUGAAGGGCACUGAAGGAACCAGGGAGAAUACCUGGUCGAUAGGCUGGAGGUCGAAGCGUGGCAACACGUGUAGCCGACCAGUACUAAUCAGCCGUGAGGCUUGACCAUAUU